Molecule: ribosomal RNA, 620 nt
Filed under: uncultured bacterium
Lineage: Bacteria
Description: bacterial SSU rRNA
Rfam family: Archaeal small subunit ribosomal RNA
Source: RNAcentral
GGCCGCGGGAUUGUGCCAGCAGGCCGCGGUAACACCGGCGGCCCGAGUGGUAACCGCUUUUAUUGGGUCUAAAGGGUCUGUAGCCGGCCAAGUAAGUCCCUUGGGAAAUCUGGCAGCUUAACUGUCAGGCUGCUAGGGGAUACUGCUGGGCUUGGGACCGGGAGAGGUGAGAGGUACCUUGGGGGUAGGGGUGAAAUCUUGUGAUCCUCGGGGGACCACCAGUGGCGAAGGCGUCUCACCAGAACGGGUCCGACGGUAAGGGACGAAAGCUAGGGGCACGAACCGGAUUAGAUACCCGGGUAGUCCUAGCCGUAAACGAUGCUCGCUAGGUGUCAGUCACGGUGCGACCGUGAUUGGUGCCGUAGGGAAGCCGUGAAGCGAGCCACCUGGGAAGUAUGGCCGCAAGGCUGAAACUUAAAGGAAUUGGCGGGGGAGCACUACAACGGGUGGAGCCUGCGGUUUAAUUGGAUUCAACGCCGGAAAUCUCACCGGGGGCGACAGCAAUAUGAAGGUCAGGCUGAAGACUUACCGAUUAGCUGAGAGGUGGUGCAUGGCCGUCGUCAGUUCGUACUGUGAAGCAUCCUGUUAAGUCAGGCAACGAGCGAGACCCACGUCCACAG